AUGGCCACUAGCACUAAGCUUGCAGCUCUUGGCUUUGUUGUCCUUGUGAGCAUUGGGUUCGCCGAUGCAGCAAGGAUGCUAGCUAGCUCCUCCAGUGCUUCGGGUGGUGGUGGAGGAGGUGGAGGGGGAGGCGGUGCGAAUGGUGGGAGUGGAUAUGGUGCAGGUUCUGGGUCAGGUGGAGGCUUAGGAUAUAGUGAGAGCGGCGGAGAUUGGGGUAAGAAGUGGAACUUCGCCAAGGGAUUUGGUGGAGGAGGAGGAGCUGGUGGUGGCGGAGGAUCAAAGGGUGGAUCCGGGUCUGGUUCCGGAUCCGGCUUCGGCACUGGCAGCGGCGCGACUGGCUCCGCAUCGGCCCCUAGCGGUGAUGGUUAUGCUAGUGCUGAUGGUAAGGGUGGAGGCGGCGGCGGAGGUGGCGGUGCAAACGGAUCUAGCGGAACCGGAGCCGGAGAUGGCCUUGGCAAGGGAUAUGGUGAGAGUGGCGUGUCAAAGGCACCGGCUCCUGCUGCCGGUGGCGAUGGUACUAGCUACUCUGAUGCUGGCGGUAGUGGUAACGGUGGUGGAGGCGGUAACAACGGAAAUGGAGGUGGUGCCGGCGCUGGCGCUGGACAGGCCGGCAGCGACGACACUUCUGGAGGCUUUGCAAAUGGAGGAGGAAGCGGCAACGGUGGUGGCGCAAUUGGAGGUGGCGCUGAAGGUCCUAGCGUUGGGGUUGGAUCUGGUGCUGGGUCUGGCGCCGGUCAGACCGGUAGCACUGGCUCUUAUGGCGAUGGAUAUGCCACGGGAAUGGGCGGUGGCAUGGGUGGCGGCACCGGUGAGAGCCAGAAUGGCGGAACUGGCAGCGGUGGAGGUAGUGGAUCCGGAUCAGGUAGUGGAGGAUACAACUAA
RNAcentral lists this ribosomal RNA (882 nucleotides) under Triticum aestivum (bread wheat). RNAcentral's name for it is "partial small subunit ribosomal RNA". Lineage: Eukaryota; Viridiplantae; Streptophyta; Magnoliopsida; Poales; Poaceae. The record is from RNAcentral.